Non-coding RNA from Theobroma umbraticum, 671 nucleotides. NCBI's taxonomy places the organism in Eukaryota, Viridiplantae, Streptophyta, Magnoliopsida, Malvales, Malvaceae. The record is from RefSeq and is a predicted model, not a curated record.
UCCAAGUACUGAUUUUUUUUUCUCUCUUUAAAAGAAAUCUUCAUAAAUGGAAGGAAAGAGAAAGAAAAAGGGGAAAACCUUUUAAGCUCAUUCUUUUAUUGGCAAUGCUACUUACCAAAACUUGUAUUCAAAGAGUAGGGGCAGUAACCGUCCCAGGCUCCCUUGUAACCACGUACAUAUAGAAAAGCAGGGACAGUAGUCCCACGUUUUCCUUAUAAAACGACGGCUGUCAGCCCCCUCUUCUUCUUUCUUCUCUCUGUCUGACACAACCUCGCUGCUUCAACCAACGCAAAACAACAUCUGGAAAUGACUACCUCAAAACGCCUUGCGGAAAGGAGGGUUGCAAGGUUUCAGAAGAACAUAUCAAGGAGGGGAUCUGUAGAAAGUUCAACCAAGAAAGCAUAUGGCUACCCCGUCGGCCCAAUUCUGCUGGGGUUUUUUGUCUUUGUGGUAGUUGGAUCAUCUCUUUUUCAGAUAAUCAGAAUUGCUAUUAGCAAAGGCAAAGGCAUGGCUUGAGGAGCUGAUGAAGAAUAAGAUGGAGGAGGUCCUUAAAUCAUGUAAUGAGUUGUUAAUUUGGCAAAGUAAAACAAUGUUGUAGAAACUGAUGUUAAGACAUCUUCCUUGGUUUUAAUAAAUUCUGGCCUCCAGUUCUUGUAUUGUUUUCUCAUCUC